RNAcentral lists this ribosomal RNA (253 nucleotides) under uncultured bacterium. RNAcentral's name for it is "partial 16S ribosomal RNA". It matches the Rfam family "Bacterial small subunit ribosomal RNA", at positions 524 to 776 of the family's 1533-position model. The record is from RNAcentral.
UACGAAGGUGGCAAGCGUUGUUCGGAAUUACUGGGCGUAAAGGGCUCGUAGGCGGCCAACUAAGUCGGAUGUGAAAUCCCCAAGCUUAACUUGGGAACUGCAUCCGAUACUGGAUGGCUUGAAUCCGGGAGAGGGAUGCAGAAUUCCAGGUGUAGCGGUGAAAUGCGUAGAUAUCUGGAGGAAUACCGGUGGCGAAGGCGGCAUCCUGGACCGGCAUUGACGCUGAGGAGCGAAAGCUAGGGGAGCAAACGGG